RNAcentral lists this ribosomal RNA (249 nucleotides) under uncultured bacterium. Its description in RNAcentral is "partial 16S ribosomal RNA". It matches the Rfam family "Bacterial small subunit ribosomal RNA", at positions 87 to 339 of the family's 1533-position model. The record is from RNAcentral.
GAUGGCGAGUGGCGGACGGGUGAGUAAUAUGUAGGAAUCUACCUAGAGGUGCGGGAUAACUUGGGGAAACUCAAGCUAAUACCACAUAAUCCCUAAGGGGGAAAGCAGGGGCUCGUAAGACCUUGCGCCUUAUGAUGAGCCUACAUUGGAUUAGCUUGUUGGUGGGGUAAAGGCCUACCAAGGCGACGAUCCAUAGCUGGUCUGAGAGGAUGAUCAGCCACACUGGGACUGAGACACGGCCCAGACUCC